GAUGAACGCUGGCGGCGUGCCUAAUACAUGCAAGUCGAGCGAACAGACGAGGAGCUUGCUCCUCUGACGUUAGCGGCGGACGGGUGAGUAACACGUGGAUAACCUACCUAUAAGACUGGGAUAACUUCGGGAAACCGGAGCUAAUACCGGAUAAUAUAUUGAACCGCAUGGUUCAAUAGUGAAAGACGGUUUUGCUGUCACUUAUAGAUUGAUCCGCGCCGCAUUAGCUAGUUGGUAAGGUAACGGCUUACCAAGGCAACGAUGGGUAGCCGACCUGAGAGGGUGAUCGGCCACACUGGAACUGAGACACGGUCCAGACUCCUACGGGAGGCAGCAGUAGGGAAUCUUCCGCAAUGGGCGAAAGCCUGACGGAGCAACGCUGCGUGAGUGAUGAAGGUCUUCGGAUCGUAAAACUCUGUUAUUAGGGAAGAACAAAUGUGUAAGUAACUAUGCACGUCUUGACGGUACCGAAUCAAAAAGCCACGGCUAACUACGUG
This 497-nucleotide ribosomal RNA is filed under the name uncultured bacterium. RNAcentral describes it as "partial 16S ribosomal RNA". It matches the Rfam family "Bacterial small subunit ribosomal RNA", at positions 28 to 507 of the family's 1533-position model. The record is from RNAcentral.